RNAcentral lists this ribosomal RNA (460 nucleotides) under uncultured bacterium. RNAcentral describes it as "partial 16S ribosomal RNA". It matches the Rfam family "Bacterial small subunit ribosomal RNA", at positions 338 to 795 of the family's 1533-position model. The record is from RNAcentral.
CCUACGUGUGGCAGCAGUGAGGAAUAUUGGUCAAUGGGCUUACGCCUGAACCAGCCAAGUCGCGUGAGGGAAGAUUGCCCUAUGGGUUGUAAACCUCUUUUGUCAGGGAGCAAUUGGCGCCACGUGUAGCGCUAUCGAGAGUACCUGAAGAAAAAGCAUCGGCUAACUCCGUGCCAGCAGCCGCGGUAAUACGGAGGAUGCGAGCGUUAUCCGGAUUUAUUGGGUUUAAAGGGUGCGUAGGCGGAAUGCCAAGUCAGCGGUAAAAUUGAGGGGCUCAACCUCGCUCCGCCCUUGAAACUGGCGUUCUUGAGUGGGAGAGAAGUAUGCGGAAUGCGUGGUGUAGCGGUGAAAUGCAUAGAUAUCACGCAGAACUCCGAUUGCGAAGGCAGCAUACCGGCGCCCAACUGACGCUGAAGCACGAAAGCGUGGGGAUCGAACAGGAUUAGAUACCCGAGUAGUC